GGCGGAAGCCUNACUGGNNCAGUCGAACGGAGUACCUUCGGGUACUUUAGUGGCGAACGGGUGAGUAAUACAUAGGUAACCUACCCUUAAGACGAGGAUAGCCAUUGGAAACGAUGGAUAAAACUGGAUAGGAUAUAGAGGAAGAAUCUUUUAUAUUUAAAAGAGAGAUCUGCUUAAGGAGGGGCCUGUGGCGCAUUAGCUAGUUGGUGGGGUAAGGGCCUACCAAGGCGAUGAUGCGUAGCCGGACUGAGAGGUUGAACGGCCACAAUGGAACUGAGAACGGUCCAUACUCCUACGGGAGGCAGCAGUAGGGAAUUUUCGGCAAUGGGGGGAACCCUGACCGAGCAACGCCGCGUGGACGAAGAAGUUAUUCGUAAUGUAAAGUUCUUUUAUCAGGGAAGAAAGAGGAAUUUGACGGUACCUGAGGAAUAAGCUCCGGCUAACUACGUGCCAGCAGCCGCGGUAAUACGUAGGGAGCGAGCGUUAUCCGGAAUUAUUGGGCGUAAAGGGUGCGUAGAUGGCAUAGUAAGUCUUUUGUAAAAAUGCUGGGCUCAACCCAGUAGGGCAAAAGAUACUGCAAAGCUAGAGUAUGACAGAGGCAAGUGGAACUACAUGUGUAGCGGUAAAAUGCGUAAAUAUAUGUAAGAACACCAGUGGCGAAGGCGACUUGCUGGGUCGAUACUGACAUUGAGGCACGAAAGCGUGGGGAGCAAACAGGAUUANAUACCCUGGUAGUCCACGCCCUANACG
Molecule: ribosomal RNA, 750 nt
Filed under: uncultured bacterium
Lineage: Bacteria
Description: bacterial SSU rRNA
Rfam family: Bacterial small subunit ribosomal RNA
Source: RNAcentral